Molecule: signal recognition particle RNA, 251 nt
Filed under: Chlorocebus sabaeus (green monkey)
Lineage: Eukaryota; Metazoa; Chordata; Mammalia; Primates; Cercopithecidae
Description: Metazoan signal recognition particle RNA
Rfam family: Metazoan signal recognition particle RNA
About the family: The signal recognition particle (SRP) is a universally conserved ribonucleoprotein. It is involved in the co-translational targeting of proteins to membranes.
Source: Rfam by way of RNAcentral
GCCGGGCGAGGUGGCGGGCGCCUGUAGUCCCAGCUACUCGGGAGGCUGAGGCAGGAGAAUGGCGUGAACCCGGGAGGCGGAGGUUGCAGUGAGCCAAGAUGGCACCACUGAACUCCAGCCUGGGCAACAGAGCGUAACUGUGUCNNNNNNNNNNCACAGUUACGCUCUGUCGCCCAGGCUGGAGUUCAGUGGUGCCAUCUUGGCUCACUGCAACCUCUGCCUCCCGGGUUCAAGUGAUUCUCAUGCCUCAG